This is a long non-coding RNA of Microplitis demolitor, 385 nucleotides long. RefSeq lists it as uncharacterized. The record is from RefSeq and is a predicted model, not a curated record. NCBI's taxonomy places the organism in Eukaryota, Metazoa, Arthropoda, Insecta, Hymenoptera, Braconidae. The transcript is spliced from 2 exons.
UUAGACAGGUCUCAUUAGAGCUCUACAUAAUUUUAGUGAGUUUAUAAAUAUUUGCCAAUAUUAACAUCAAUAGUAAUAAAGAAUUUUAUACUACAAUUUAAAUUAUCCGAUAAUCGAAUAAUAAAAAUGUCAAAAGUAUUUUUGGUGUUGAUUUUGUCAGUCGUAUUGUUAGCUUCUGUGAACUUUGUUACAGCAGAAGGAUGCUAUGGUAAAUCGUGCCGGCAAACAGAAGGUAACGGUUGCUGUCCUGGAUAUGCAUGUACUUCUACCCCGACUAAGGAUGGAAGCUGCGUUACGAUUGCAGAAUUUAGGGGAAAGGGCAAGCUUGCUUAACUAAUUCAAAAUUUGUCAAUUUUUUUUGCUAAAUAAAGUUUUUUUUUUACUA